RNAcentral lists this ribosomal RNA (373 nucleotides) under uncultured bacterium. RNAcentral describes it as "bacterial SSU rRNA". It matches the Rfam family "Bacterial small subunit ribosomal RNA", at positions 30 to 416 of the family's 1533-position model. The record is from RNAcentral.
AUUGAACGCUGGCGGCAGGCUUAACACAUGCAAGUCGAGCGGAGACUUCGGUCUUAGCGGCGAACGGGUGAGUAAUACCUAGGAAUCUGCCUAUUAGUGGGGGAUAACGAAUCGAAAGGUUCGCUAAUACCGCAUACGUCCUACGGGAGAAAGGGGGGNUCUUCGGACCUCUCGCUAAUAGAUGAGCCUAGGCCGGAUUAGCUAGUUGGUAGGGUAAAGGCCUACCAAGGCGACGAUCUGUAGCUGGUCUGAGAGGAUGGCCAGCCACACUGGAACUGAGACACGGUCCAGACUCCUACGGGAGGCAGCAGUGGGGAAUAUUGGACAAUGGGGGCAACCCUGAUCCAGCCAUGCCGCGUGUGUGAAGAAGGCC